GAUGAACGCUGGCGGUGUGCCUAAUACAUGCAAGUCGAGCGAACAGACGAGGAGCUUACUCCUCUGACGUUAGCGGCGGACGGGUGAGUAACACGUGGAUAACCUACCUAUAAGACUGGGAUAACUUCGGGAAACCGGAGCUAAUACCGGAUAACAUGUUGAACCGCAUGGUUCAACAGUGAAAGACGGUCUUGCUGUCACUUAUAGAUGGAUCCGCGUCGCAUUAGCUAGUUGGUAAGGUAACGGCUUACCAAGGCAACGAUGCGUAGCCGACCUGAGAGGGGAAUCGGCCACACUGAAACUGGAACACGGUCAGACUCCUACGGGAGGCAGCAGUAGGGAAUCUUCCGCAAUGGGCGAAAGCCUGACGGAGCAACGCCGCGUGAGUGAAGAAGGUCUUCGGAUCGUAAAACUCUGUUAUUAGGGAAGAACAAAUGUGUAAGUAACUAUGCACGUCUUGACGGUACCUAAUCAGAAAGCCACGGCUAACUACGUG
This 496-nucleotide ribosomal RNA is filed under the name uncultured bacterium. Its description in RNAcentral is "partial 16S ribosomal RNA". It matches the Rfam family "Bacterial small subunit ribosomal RNA", at positions 28 to 507 of the family's 1533-position model. The record is from RNAcentral.